AGUGAACGCUGGCGGUAGGCCUAACACAUGCAAGUCGAACGGCAGCACAGUAAGAGCUUGCUCUUACGGGUGGCGAGUGGCGGACGGGUGAGGAAUACAUCGGAAUCUACUUUUUCGUGGGGGAUAACGUAGGGAAACUUACGCUAAUACCGCAUACGACCUACGGGUGAAAGCAGGGGAUCUUCGGACCUUGCGCGGUUGAAUUAGCCGAUGUCGGAUUAGCUAGUUGGCGGGGUAAAUGCCCACCAAGGCGACGAUCCGUAGCUGGUCUGAGAGGCGGGUCAGCGACCCUGGAACUUGACCGGCGUCCUUGCUCCUGCGGGAGGCAGCAGAGGGGAAUGUGAGGCAGUAGGCGCGAACCUUGCCCAACCGUCCCGCGUCUGAUGAGGAGGCCUUCCGGUCGUAAAGCCCUUUUUUUGGGAGAGAAACGCAGCAGCUUGUUACCCCGCUGUUCUGACGGUACCCAAAGAAUAAGCACCGGCUAACUUCGUG
This 492-nucleotide ribosomal RNA is filed under the name uncultured bacterium. RNAcentral describes it as "partial 16S ribosomal RNA". It matches the Rfam family "Bacterial small subunit ribosomal RNA", at positions 29 to 507 of the family's 1533-position model. The record is from RNAcentral.